RNAcentral lists this unclassified non-coding RNA (153 nucleotides) under fungal sp. RNAcentral describes it as "partial internal transcribed spacer region". Lineage: Eukaryota; Fungi. The record is from RNAcentral.
AAACGUGGAAGGGUGUUCCGUCUGACGUUCAGCUCAAGACGUAUUUGGGCCGCGUGCAGAAGACGAUGGAGAGUCUCGGCUUCUCGGAGAUUCAGGCGCAGGCGAUUCUCGAUCUGCAACUGCGCAGGUUGUCGGCACUCGAGCGACAGAAGA